Molecule: long non-coding RNA, 2053 nt
Organism: Bombus pyrosoma
Lineage: Eukaryota; Metazoa; Arthropoda; Insecta; Hymenoptera; Apidae
Exons: 3
Source: RefSeq, a predicted model, not a curated record
UACGGUGCCGCAUUCGUGCGACGACUUAUGCUGUGCCAUGGAGCUCGAGGUCUGCUCUUAUCCAACUGCGGUUACAAUGGAAUAAACAUAUCUUUAACAAACCAGAGAACAGUUGAAAAGUUUCUGCAAUACUUGCGAAGGCAGAUACUCCUUCUAAACAUAAGGAUCGACUAUGCGGAGAACAUUGUCGUGCUUUCUCGUUAACUUUAAGGGUGCCGAUCUCGUGUUCGAUAUUUAAGAAACGGGUUUCGUUACAGCGCAGACACGGCUACCUGCAACAUUUUCUAUAUUCUUCUACUUUCAUUCGUUCGAUACAAUAUGGAGCUCGAGCCUUAAUAAAUGAAUUUAAUCGACCGGAAUUCACUUAAUUGGACGCUGGAUACACGAGGAGACGUAGGAUACAAACGAGGACGAGCGAGGUUUCACAUCCUUGUACGAACCAAAUGGCUGAUUACUUUUAAAAAGGAGCAGUCAUUCGGCAGCAUGCCAGCAUCUACCAUUACCGAUGCUCGUGAUUUUAUCGAGAACGUCUAGCACAAUGUUGUACCGUGAACGAUCUGGGUUAAACAUACAUUCCAUACGUACCGCUACUUGACACUGUACUUUUCGUCGGGAAACAAGGGGAACAAGGGAGCAGUUGCCUAAUGGGUAUGUAUAGUACUGGCCAACCUAAAUUGUAUCUCACAAAUUUCUUAUUAUAGAAUACAAACGAUAGAUAAUGAUAGAAACGUAUAAAAUACCUAUUCUUAAGUCGAAUCAUAUAAUAAUGAACAAAAGUAUUGGCACAGCCAACUUCCUUUCUAAAAUCCUGUACAAAUUUGUAAAAAAAUGUGAUAUUUUAUUUAAUUCUCUAGAAAUAAAACAGCAUCUUAAUUAAAAAUUCGAAAAUUAUACAUAUGUGUAGAUCGAAUAUUUCAUAAGCGCAACGAAUGGAAUCAUUAUUUUAUAUAAGUAAUAUUUCUCAACCUUGUGAGGUGAAACUUAGGUAUUCUAAUUAACUUGAAAUCAUAAAUACGCGUUGAACUUGGCUCCGUUAAUGGAAACUAUGCAAAUAACGAUUUCUAAAUUUCAGUUCCCUUAAUUAACUCUUAUAAUUCUUAAAUAACCAAGUAAAAGUGAAAUUUAAUGACAAAAAUAAUAAUAUAUGUAUCUGUGACGUACACCAUACGACACGUAUCGUUUAAAACUGACGUUUUAAUAUGCAACGAUAAUUAUUUACUUCAGAGCGAAUUUCUAUUGAAAAAGCAACAACUAGAAAGAACGUCUAUAAUUCUUACUAAUAUUUCAAUGUAAUCGACGGAAUGCGAAUGAAAAUUGGAGCGGAACGAUCGUUAAAAGAAUAUCAAUUUAAUAUCGACCUAAAUUUCACACCAGCUUCGUUUCUGCAGCUGAUUUGUUUAUUGUUUAACUUGUCUAUUCCAUUCUUUGUCCUUAAGGCCAGUAUCACUAGGAAAAAAUUUAGAAAAUCAGUGACUGAUUGAAAAAUUAUUAGUAGCACUUUCAUCAACAAAGUUGUUUAUGAUAGUGUUAUAAUUGAAUUUCCCCAAACAUAAUGAAAUCGUUAAAUUUAGGUGGAGAAAGGAAGCGACAAAAAAUGUUAAAUAGACCUUUGAAAUUCCCACUUUCAUACCCACAGUAUUAGAAAACAAAAUUCAGCAAUAUAAAUUGUCUUCAAAAAUGCAAAUGUAAAAAGUUAUAUCAUGAUAAAUUAAAGUUGAAUCAAUUUCGUUGAAUGCGCAUGGAAGUAAAGAGGAGAAUAAGUGACAACCAGAGCGGAAUGUACGUAAUGGAGCAUACGAUGCGCUACAAAAAUGUAGGAGGGGCUUGGUUUUCGUAACAGAACGAAUAUGGAGCGAAAGUCAGUUUGGAUCUGUGCUCUAGCCUCGAACAUGUUCAACGUGAACGUGAACGUGAACUCUUUUAAGCCAGUGACACUGUAAGACAGCGUUCUAAAUAAACAUUAAUAAAUUAUAUACAAAUUUAGUAUAUAUACAUAGGAAUAAAUAUAUAUAUUUUGCUGUAACGUAAGAAUAAGUAUGUAAUUUCAUCAGAU